GGAGAGGUGGCUCAGAGAUUAAGAGCACUGACUGUUCUUCCAGAGGUCCUGAGUUCAAUUCCCAGCAACGCCA
Neotoma lepida (desert woodrat) is the source of this 73-nucleotide transfer RNA. It matches the Rfam family "tRNA". Rfam says of the family: Transfer RNA (tRNA) molecules are approximately 80 nucleotides in length. Their secondary structure includes four short double-helical elements and three loops (D, anti-codon, and T loops). The record is from Rfam. Lineage: Eukaryota; Metazoa; Chordata; Mammalia; Rodentia; Cricetidae.